Molecule: transfer RNA, 73 nt
Filed under: Humitalea rosea
Lineage: Bacteria; Pseudomonadati; Pseudomonadota; Alphaproteobacteria; Acetobacterales; Roseomonadaceae
Description: Acetobacteraceae bacterium W37 tRNA
Rfam family: tRNA
About the family: Transfer RNA (tRNA) molecules are approximately 80 nucleotides in length.
Source: Rfam by way of RNAcentral
GUGCCCGUAGCUCAGUUGGUAGAGCACGUGACUUUUAAUCAUGUGGUCGUGGGUUCGAGUCCCACCGGGCACA